RNAcentral lists this long non-coding RNA (2111 nucleotides) under Homo sapiens (human). RNAcentral describes it as "HSALNT0318540". The record is from RNAcentral. Lineage: Eukaryota; Metazoa; Chordata; Mammalia; Primates; Hominidae.
AGACAGGGUCUAUUUUUUUUGUUUUGUUUUGUUUUGUUUUGAGACAGAGUUUCUCUCUCUGUAGCCCAGGCUGGAGUGCAGGGGUGCAAUCACAGAUCACUGCAACCUCAACCUCCUGAGCUCAGACGAUCCUCCCGCCUCAGCCUUCCAAGUAGCUGGGACUAUAGGCACACACCACCAUGCCCAGCAAUUUUUUUUUUGUAUUUUUUGUAGAGACGGAGUUUCACAAUGUUGCCCAGGCUGGUCUCGAACUCCUGGGCUCAAGCAGUCCACCCUGGGCUCAAGCCUCAGCCAUGCAAAGUGCUAGGAUUACAGGCAUGAGCCACCAAGCACAGCCUGUUUGCUUAUUUCUUAUCCGAAUUCUCAGCAGAAUUUGUGAGCCUAUGAGAGCAUUGUCUUUGUUUUGUUCCCUGCUAUAACUCCAGAGCCUAAAGCAGUGCUGGGCAUACAAUGGGUCCUUAACAAUUAUUUGUUGAAUGAAUAAAUGCAAUAUGUUUGCAUGAGGGACCAGUGGGAAUAACAAUUCUAAUUGAGCAGCCCUGAUCCUUCUGAUUUCUUCGAAGUGUGAGGGUUAAACCAAUGCUCAUCCUCACAAAUUCCCACUGCCCUGCAGAAAAGGGGAACAUAGCCUCAUAAAAUGAAGGGAGACUGAUGAGCCCCUGGCUAGUUCCCCCCACCACACCCCGCCUCCUGCCCUGAACUUGCUCUGUUGCUGAAGCUGGAGUGCAGGGUCCUGAUCUCCGUUCACUGAAAGCUCUGCCUCCUGGGCUCAAGUGAUCCUCCUGCCUCAGCCUCCAGAGUAGCUGGGAUUACAGGCGUGUGCCACCACACCUGUAAUUUUGUAUUUUCAGUAGAGAUGGGGUUUCGCCAUGUUGGCCAGGCUGGUCUCCAUCUCCUGAGCUCAAGUGAUCCACCUGCCUCAGCCUCCCAAAGUGCUGGAUUCCAGGCAUGAGCCACCGUGCCUGGCCAGAACCCAGGACUUUCAAUUUGAAAACCAGGAAAUCCCAGGGUCAUUGGGGUGAGUUGGCCACCCUACUGAAUGGUACAUUUGCAAGACCCUCCCUGGGGCCCGAGGCCUCACUUACUCGGCUUCCAGGGCAGCCAGCCGGGCCUGGAGCUGGGCCUGGGCACUACUGAAAUCUGCCACCAUGGCCUGCAUCUCCUUCCGGUGUUCCUGGCGCAGUGUCUCCACCUCCCUGGCCCGCUGGGCUUGCUGAGUCUCCUCCAGGAACCUGUGGUGGAUGAAAGCACAGCCAGGCUUGCCCAGCUCCAGGGAUGGCACCCCUUGGGCUCUGGGGUUUAUUUCCCUCAUCGCUGCCCAGUUUGGGAGAUCUGGGUGGGGAGAAAUUGUGAUCUAAGGACACCUGUGGGAAGAAGAGCUGAAGUCUCUUGAGUUGUGGAGUCCAGGACAAACCCCCACUAUGGGACCCCUUCUCAGCACCCUCCCAUCUCAGAAGGAGAAACCUGAGCAUGGGGACAGACUUCAGGUGGAAGUGAUGGAGAGCAGCCCUGCAGGGGAGCCCCAGAAAACACACUCUUCACUUGGGACAGGCGGGGAGGCAAGAGGCUGAGAUUCUCUAUCAGUAUGGCCUGAACGCUGGGACUCUGAGACCUGGGAGACCAGGUCUUCCCUAACAACUACACUGCAGUGGAAAGCCUCCCUGAACUUUUUUUUUUUUUUGAGACGGAGUCUUGCUCUUGUUGCUCAGGGUGGAGUGCAAUGGCACGAUCUCGGCUCACUGCAACCUUCACCUCCCGGGUUCAAGCAGUUCUCCUGCCUCAGCCUCCCAAGUGGCUGGGAUUACAGGCGCCCAGCACCAGGCCCAGCCAAUUUUUUGUAUUUUUAGUAAAGACGGGGGGUUUCACCAUGUUGGCCAGGCUAGUCUCGAACUCCUGACCUCGGGUGAUCCAUGCGCUUCAGCCUCCCAAAGUGCUGGGAUUACACGCGUGAGCCACCACACCUGGCCACUCCCUGAAUCUUUAUCCCUCACCUUUAUCAAAAGAAGUGGUUAUGAAAAUUAAAUUGGGCUGGGUGCGGUGGCUCACAUCUGUAAUCCCAGCACUUUGGGAGGCCAAGGCGGGAGGAUCACGAGGACAGGAGUUCGAGACCA